AUGAACUUCAGGUCAUUCCAGUUGAGUUUAAUCCUGUGCUUUGUACCCUGUUUGUCUGUUGUCAGUCCAUCAUCCUCAGGUCAGUCUUGUCAACCCAUCCUCAGGUCCGUCUUAUCAGCCCCUCCUCAGGUCAGUUCGUCGUCAGCCCCUCAGGUCAGUCUGUUGGGUCAGUCUUAUCAGCCCCUCCUCUGGUCAGUCUGUUGUCAGCCCCUCCUCUGGUCAGUCUGUUGUCAGCCCCUCCUCUGGUCAGUCUGUUGUCAGCCCUUCCUCUGGUCAGUCCGUUGCCAGCCCUUCCUCAGGUCAGCCCUUCCUCUGGUCAGUCCGUUGUCAGCCCUUCCUCUGGUCAGUCUGUUGUCAGCCCUUCCUCUGGUCAGUCCGUUGCCAGCCCUUCCUCAGGUCAGCCCUUCCUCUGGUCAGUCUGUCGUCAGAUCAGUCCGUUGCCAGCCCUUCCUUAGGUCAGCCCUUCCUCAGGUCAGCCCUUCCUCUGGUCAGUCCGUUGUCAGCCCUUCCUCAGGUCAGUCCGUUGCCAGCCCUUCCUCUGGUCAGUCUGUUGUCAGCCCUUCCUCUGGUCAGUCCGUUGCCAGUCCGUUGUCAGCCCUUCCUCUGGUCAGUCCGUUGUCAGCCCUUCCUCUGGCCAGUCCGUUGUCAGCCCUUCCUCAGGUCAGCCCUUCCUCAGGUCAGCCCUUCCUCUGGUCAGUCCGUUGCCAGCCCUUCCUCAGGUCAGCCCUUCCUCUGGUCAGUCCGUUGCCAGCCCUUCCUCAGGUCAGCCCUUCCUCUGGUCAGUCCGUUGCCAGUCCGUUGUCAGCCCUUCCUCUGGUCAGUCUGUUGUCAGCCCUUCCUCUGGUCAGUCUGUUGUCAGCCCUUCCUCUGGUCAGUCCGUUGCCAGUCCGUUGUCAGCCCUUCCUCUGGUCAGUCUGUUGUCAGCCCUUUCUCUGGUCAGUCCUUUGCCAGUCUGUUGUCAGCCCUUCCUCUGGUCAGUCCGUUGCCAGUCUGUUGUCAGCCCUUCCUCUGGUCAGUCCGUUGCCAGUCUGUUGUCAGCCCUUCCUCUGGUCAGUCCGUUGCCAGUCUGUUGUCAGUCCUUCCUCUGGUCAGUCCGUUGCCAGUCUGUUGUCAGCCCUUCCUCUGGUCAGUCCGUUGCCAGUCUGUUGUCAGCCCUUCCUCUGGUCAGUCCGUUGCCAGUCUGUUGUCAGCCCUUCCUCUGGUCAGUCCGUUGCCAGUCUGUUGUCAGCCCUUCCUCUGGUCAGUCUGUCGUCAGCCCUUCCUCUGAUCAGUCCUUCCUCAGGUCAAUCUGUUGUCAGCCCUUCCUCUGGUCAGUCCUUCCUCAGGUCAGUCUGUUGUCAGCCCUUCCUCAGGUCAGUCUGUCGUCAGGUCAGUCUGUUGUCAGUCCUUCCUCAGGUCAGCCCUUCCUCUGGUCAGUCCGUUGUCAGCCCUUCCUCUGGUCAGUCCUUCCUCAGGUCAGUCUGUUGUCAGCCCUUCCUCAGGUCAGUCUGUCGUCAGGUCAGUCUGUUGUCAGUCCUUCCUCAGGUCAGUCCGGUUUCAGUCCUUCCUCAGGUCAGUCUGUUGCCAGUCUGUUGUCAGCCCUUCCUCUGGUCAGUCCGUUGCCAGUCUGUCGUCAGCCCUUCCUCUGGUCAGUCCUUCCUCAGGUCAGUCUGUUGUCAGCCCUUCCUCAGGUCAGUCCUUCCUCAGGUCAGUCUGUUGUCAGCCCUUCCUCAGGUCAGUCUGUCGUCAGGUCAGUCUGUUGUCAGUCCUUCCUCAGGUCAGUCCGGUUUCAGUCCUUCCUCAGGUCAGUCUGUUGUCAGUCUGUUGUCAGGUCAGUCUGUCGUCAGGUCAGUCUGUUGUCAGUCUUUCGUCAGGUCAGUCUGUUGUCAGUCCUUGCUCAGGUCAGUCUGUCGUCAGCCUUCCUCAGUCUAUUUAGUUUAG
RNAcentral lists this long non-coding RNA (1920 nucleotides) under Oncorhynchus mykiss (rainbow trout). Its description in RNAcentral is "lncRNA (ENSOMYG00000066623.1)". Lineage: Eukaryota; Metazoa; Chordata; Actinopteri; Salmoniformes; Salmonidae. The record is from RNAcentral.